AAACAUUAACUCGGUGCAAAUAUAGAGAGCAUUAUAG
This 37-nucleotide unclassified non-coding RNA is filed under the name Leishmania tarentolae. Its description in RNAcentral is "guide RNA". Lineage: Eukaryota; Euglenozoa; Kinetoplastea; Trypanosomatida; Trypanosomatidae. The record is from RNAcentral.